CUCAGUAACACGUGGAUAAUCUGCCCUUAGGUGGAGGAUAAUCUCGGGAAACUGAGGAUAAUACUCCAUAGAUCUAGGAUGCUGGAAUGCAUCUAGAUUGAAAGCUCCGGCGCCUAAGGAUGAGUCUGCGGACUAUCAGGUUGUAGUCAGGGUAAAGACCUGACUAGCCUACGACGGAUACGGGUUGUGAGAGCAAUAACCCGGAGACGAUAUCUGAGACACGAUAUCGGGCCCUACGGGGCGCAGCAGGCGCGAAAACUUCACACUGUGCGAAAGCGCGAUGAGGGAAUCCCAAGUGUUUGCUCGUAAGAGUAAACUGUUUCUUUGUUUAAAACGCAGAGAGAGUAAGGGCUGGGUAAGACGGGUGCCAGCCGCCGCGGUAAUACCUGCAGCUCAAGUGGUGAUCAUUAUUAUUGGGCCUAAAACGUCCGUAGCCGGUUUAGUAAAUGCCUGGGUAAAUCGUGUAGCUUAACUAUACGACUUCCGGGUAGACUACUAAACUUGAGACCGGGAGAGGCUAGCGGUACUCCUGGGGUAGAGGUGAAAUUCUGUAAUCCUAGGGGGACCACCAGUGGCGAAGGCGUCUAGCUAGAACGGGUCUGACGGUGAGGGACGAAGCCCUGGGGCACAAACCGGAUUAGAUACCCGGGUAGUCCAGGGUGUAAACGCUGCUUGCUUGAUGUUAGUUGGGCUCCGAGCCCAACUAGUGUCGGAGAGAAGUUGUUAAGCAAGCUGCCUGGGAAGUACGGUCGCAAGGCUGAAACUAAAG
RNAcentral lists this ribosomal RNA (769 nucleotides) under uncultured archaeon. RNAcentral describes it as "bacterial SSU rRNA". It matches the Rfam family "Archaeal small subunit ribosomal RNA", at positions 89 to 861 of the family's 1478-position model. The record is from RNAcentral.